This 457-nucleotide ribosomal RNA is filed under the name uncultured bacterium. RNAcentral's name for it is "bacterial SSU rRNA". It matches the Rfam family "Bacterial small subunit ribosomal RNA", at positions 29 to 524 of the family's 1533-position model. The record is from RNAcentral.
AACGAACGCUGGCGGCAUGCCUAACACAUGCAAGUCGAACGGGAUCCUAGCUUGCUAGGUGAGAGUGGCGGACGGGUGAGUAACACGUGGGAAUCUGCCUUCUGGUUCGGGAUAACCGCGGGAAACUGCGGCUAAUACCGAAUGCCCUCGCGAGAGGAAAGAUUUAUCGCCAGAAGAGGAGCCCGCGUCCGAUUAGGUAAUUGGUGGGGUAAAGGCCUACCAAGCCGACGAUCGGUAGCUGGUCUGAGAGGAUGAUCAGCCACACUGGGACUGAGAUACGGCCCAGACUCCUACGGGAGGCAGCAGUGGGGAAUAUUGGACAAUGGGGCAACCCUGAUCCAGCAAUGCCGCGUGAGUGAUGAAGGCCUUAGGGUUGUAAAGCUCUUUUGUCAGGGAAGAUGAUGACUGUACCUGGAGAAUAAGCCCCGGCUAACUUCGUGCCAGCAGCCGCGGUAAU